RNAcentral lists this ribosomal RNA (511 nucleotides) under uncultured bacterium. RNAcentral describes it as "bacterial SSU rRNA". It matches the Rfam family "Bacterial small subunit ribosomal RNA", at positions 29 to 517 of the family's 1533-position model. The record is from RNAcentral.
AACGAACGCUGACGGCGUGGCUAAAACAUGCAAGUCGCACGCGAAAGCGGGGCAACCCGCGAGUAGAGUGGCGGAAGGGUGAGGAAUAUAUGGGUAACGUACCUUUGGCACAGGGAUAGCUCACCGAAAGGUGAGGUAAGACCUGAUGAGACCACGGCCUCGAUGGAGGCAGCGGUCAAAGGGCGGGGAUCCUUCGGGACCUGUCGGCCAAAGAGCGGCCCAUAUCCUAUCAGCUAGUUGGUGAGGUAACGGCCCACUAAGGCUGCGACGGGUACCGGGACUGAGAGGUUGGCCCGGCACAUUGGCACUGAGACACUGGCCAGACUCCUACGGGAGGCUGCAGUAACGGAUAUUGGGCAAUGGGCGAAAGCCUGACCCAGCGACGCCGCGUGUGGGAAGAAGUUCUUCGGAAUGUAAACCACUGUCAGGGGCUACCAAGCAACCGGAUCUAACAGAUUCGGAAGUUGAGGCGCCCCAGAGGAAGCCACGGCUAACUUCGUGCCAGCAGCCG